Molecule: ribosomal RNA, 770 nt
Filed under: fungal sp.
Lineage: Eukaryota; Fungi
Description: SSU rRNA
Rfam family: Eukaryotic small subunit ribosomal RNA
Source: RNAcentral
UAGGAUAGAGGCCUACCAUGGUGGUAACGGGUAACGGGGUGUUAGGGCACGACACCGGAGAGGGAGCCUGAGAAACGGCUACCACAUCCAAGGAUGGCAGCAGGCGCGCAAAUUACCCAAUCCCGACACGGGGAGGUAGUGACAAUAAAUAACAAUACGGGGCUCAUUUGGGUCUCGUAAUUGGAAUGAGUACAAUUUAAAUCCCUUAACGAGGAACAAUUGGAGGGCAAGUCUGGUGCUGGCAGCCGCGGUAAUUCCAGCUCCAAUAGCGUAUAUUAAAGUUGUUGCAGUUAAAAAGCUCGUAGUUGAACUUCGGGAUUUAUUCAUUGGUCAGGCUUAACUGUCUGUACUGGUGUUAUGAAUUCCUACCUUCUGAGGAAUCAUCAUGCCAUUCAGUUGGUGUGGUGGAAAAUCAGGACUGUUACUUUGAAAAAAUUAGAGUGUUUAAAGCAGGCUCGCGCUUGAAUACAUUAGCAUGGAAUAAUGAAAUAGGACGUUUGAUUCUAUUUUGUUGGUUUCUAGGAUCGACGUAAUGAUUAAUAGGUAUAGUUGGGGGCAUUAGUAUUCAAUUGUCAGAGGUGAAAUUCUUGGAUUUAUUGAAGACUAACUACUGCGAAAGCAUUUGCCAAGGAUGUUUUCAUUAAUCAAGAACGAAAGUUAGGGGAUCGAAGACGAUCAGAUACCGUCGUAGUCUUAACCAUAAACUAUGCCGACUAGGGAUCGGACGAAGUUAAUUUUUAAAUGACUCGUUCGGCACCUUACGGGAAACC